GAACUUAUUAAAUAACAAAUGUGUUCCAACUACUUUGUAAUACAUUUGCUGUAUGUAUUUAUUACCGCAAACACAUAGUGAAUGUCUGGUGAAUGUCGAUCCUGAUUGUUACUGUAUACAAGAUGACUGUUUCAACAAGAAGUUUGAAAUAGAUUUUGACAACUGUAAAUUGACUGUUCCUGUAGACACUAUUGAUUUUGAAUCAUACUCUCUAUAUAUUACCACUGUUAACCGUGCCAUGUUAACUACUUCUAUUGUUAAAGAGGUAAGUCGAAAAAGAAAAUCUUAAACAAUUAAGUCUGUUGUGUCUUCGAAAUGAAUGCCAAUCAAAUAUAACACAACUACCUAAGUUUUCUUAGACAAAUAAACAUAGAUUAUUCAAAAAUUAUGGCAAAGUUAGAUAAAAAGAUACAAAAUGUACAUUGAAGUUAAAACAUUAAAGCUGUAAUAAUAAAAGAUAAAAAUAUGCUGAUAUAAAGGUCUUUUGCAACGUUAAUUUAACUGAGAAUCUUUUGUGUUAAGUGUUUUUACUUAUCGUUUUUGACUUAUAAAUUAAUCGUUUUUGUCAUGAUAAUAUCCGUGUUUCUUUGAUUUAUUAUUAUUUUAGUUUAAAUGUCUCUGUUUGAUUCUAAUAACGACUAACUACUAACCAGGAAGGUAUUUUUUUAGCAAUAAUAUAUAAUAAAAAAAAAAGAAAAACAUCUAAUGGCAAAGAAAUGAAUCACGAUACGACAAAGUUAUAUUAGCAUCACCUUAAUAAAUAAUGAAAAAAACGAAUAAUACUUAAUAAUAGUUUUAAGAUUUGAUCGAGGAAAACAUACGUGCGAAUAAGUUACAAAUCUACACCAGAUCCAUCACAAGUGAAUUACUCUUAAUAUUAGCACAACAAUGCUAGAUCUGAACAUUUGCAGAUGCAAAGUUUUAUUCUUUCCUCGCCGAGAUUCUGACCCAUGCUAUUGGGAUAUCACCACCUGUACUGUGUCCAGCGCUCUAGACCACUGUAGUCCUCUUGUUAAAUCAAAUCGUAAACUCUAGUAGAGUGCAUUUAUUGGAAAACGUUUCGCUCAAUUUGUAUAACACUUUACUUUCAGAUAGGAAGUGUGACUCAGUUUACUGGGAUACAACAAUGUAAGUAUCAAUAGUUAUCAAAUGUACCAGGCUUAUAAUUUACCACACCAGACGCGCGUUUUUUCCAUAAGACUCAUCAGUGACGCUCAGAUCAAAAUUGUAUAAAGCCAAACAAAUUGAAAAACUUUGGGAACCCAAAAUUCCAAAAAGUUGUGCCAAAUACGGUUAAGUUACUCUAUGAUAGCUAGCUAAACCUCUCACUUGUACGACAGUCGCAUGGAAUUAUUAAAAGUUUUUAAACUAAUGAUUCAACACAACCAUUUCUCUCUCUCUCUCUCUUUCACAUUUGGGCAUGUGUGGGAAUCUGAUGAUGAAUUCAUUUAGAUGUAACACAACUUGCAUUGUUUAUUAAUCUGUAGAAUUGCAAGAAAUAGAGAGAACAUUGCGAUGGAGUAAUCAGAAAAUGUAUCAGUAGACCAGACAACGCCAUGUCAUCAAUAAAAGCGAAAAAACAAAUAACAUUCCAUUUGACGAUUUUAACUUUUGAUGGCAUGUUUUAUUUGAAACAACUUUAAUGUACUAAAUAAUCAAACGACACCAUCAUAGCGUUUGUUUACAAAAAUACAGAACAGCAAAAUCCUUAUGUAAAUCCACACUAAAUGAAAAAAAAACUAAAAAUAUGAUAAUGAAUAAGAAAAAACUUAACAACUCUCAAGAAUUCUGACUUGAAACAAUUAAAUGACAAAGUGUUUUAGUGAAAUGAAAAAGAAAGUUGUUUUGAAUGAGUCACAUUACCUCAAUGGUUUAUUAAUCAGUUAAGUCAUAUUUAUCUUCAUGACAAACAUGGACAAAUAUGUUCCAAUCCCUGCUGACAUUCUUUGAGGCAUGGCUUGAAUGAUACCGAGCUUUGUGUAAAAAUUAUUUGAAAUAACAGAUAUCUUUACGCAUCUUGUAUUUGUUGUUUACCCUAAUAGUCAACUUAUUUCUUUGAUUUAGAUUCGAGUCCAUUUAAUAUUUCCAUUGUAAAAACGACUGAUAGGACUAUAACAAUUCAAUGGAAGCUAUUACCCACCUGCUACGAUAAACCUAUGUUGUAUUGAUUUCAGAUUCUCAUAACUCUUUUGGAAUAGUUUGUAUCAAGAACACGUUCCUCUAAACGAAAUACGGAUAGUGAGCAGAUGCACAUGAGUAAAGUAUUAAUUUUUUUAGAUAGUUUUGAGCAGAAGGUAUGUUACUGCUGAAAUAUUUAAACUUUAUAAUUAAAAAAUUGAAUUGAAGAAGGUU
Molecule: long non-coding RNA, 2352 nt
Filed under: Mytilus galloprovincialis (Mediterranean mussel)
Lineage: Eukaryota; Metazoa; Mollusca; Bivalvia; Mytilida; Mytilidae
Source: RNAcentral